Non-coding RNA from Schistosoma mattheei, 107 nucleotides. NCBI's taxonomy places the organism in Eukaryota, Metazoa, Platyhelminthes, Trematoda, Strigeidida, Schistosomatidae. The record is from Rfam.
AUACUCGAUUCCGCAGUACAUAUGUUAAAAUUGGAAAGAUACAGAGAAGAUUAGCAUGGUCCCUGCGCAAGGAUGACACGCAAAAUCGUGAAGCGUUCCAUAUUACU